AGAGUUUGAUCAUGGCUCAGGAUGAACGCUAGCUACAGGCUUAACACAUGCAAGUCGAGGGGCAGCAUUUUAGUUUGCUUGCAAACUGAAGAUGGCGACCGGCGCACGGGUGAGUAACACGUAUCCAACCUGCCGAUAACUCUGGGAUAGCCUUUCGAAAGAAAGAUUAAUACCGGAUAGCAUACGAAUAUCGCAUGAUAUUUUUAUAAAGUAAUUU
This 217-nucleotide ribosomal RNA is filed under the name uncultured bacterium. RNAcentral describes it as "partial 16S ribosomal RNA". It matches the Rfam family "Bacterial small subunit ribosomal RNA", at positions 8 to 212 of the family's 1533-position model. The record is from RNAcentral.